RNAcentral lists this unclassified non-coding RNA (664 nucleotides) under Hevea brasiliensis (rubber tree). Lineage: Eukaryota; Viridiplantae; Streptophyta; Magnoliopsida; Malpighiales; Euphorbiaceae. The record is from RNAcentral.
UACAGUCACUCAACUUUUUUUUUUCUUUAAAAGUACUUCAAGUUCAAUUUGGUGAACAACAAAGUUAUUUUCACAAUUUUCCAUCCAAGACUCCGGCGAUUUAAUGACGUGACAAUGCCAUGUGACAUUUUAGGGAGAAAAAAUUUCUCUUUCAUCCAUUUCUUCUAUAUUUAGACCCAUAAUCUCUCUCUAUCUUAAAACUUCUCAUUUAUUUCUUUCUCAAAGAAUCCCUACAAAAAAUUAAAAAAAAAAAAAAUUCAAGCGAAAUUUUUCGAUCUCCUGUCUACAGCAGCUUCCAGUAAAACUAAGGCUAAAAGAUCUUAGGAUGUCAGGCGAGGUUCUUAGAGCUUCGAAAAUGAUUGGAGAGCAAGAAAUCAAGAGGAGCAAUUUCAGGUUGCUUCUACACAAUGGUGGUUUGCUUACAUUCGUUCUUCGAUCACUCUUACACUUAUGCAUGAUAUCAAUUGUUGUUUCUUGUAAAUAAUGUUAAAAAUGGUUGUCUUGGGAACUUUGGUCUAUGUCCUCAAAUUUCCUCUUCCUGUGUUUAACAAAUAACUAAUUUUCCAUUAUUUAUGCACACCAUUCUUAGUUCCAAGUUUCAAUGUAUAUGGAAUAUUUAGGCUAAAUUUCAUUGGCGGUAACCAAACUUUAUGGGUUAUUACAA